GGGCCGCGACACCCCCGGUGGCACCGGGGCUCCGCUGCGACCCGCGCCGGUCCUGCCACGGGCGGGGCUGUGGGGACGCGGGGGUGGUGGUGAGGCCGGACACCCGGCAGGCAUGGUGGGCUACGACCCCGAGGCCAAGUGCGUGUCCACGGCGGAAGCGGCCGCAGCAGGGUCGGCGUCCGGCUUGGUCACUCGGGUUCUGAUCAGCCCCUUGGAUGUCCUCAAGAUCCGCUUUCAGCUCCAGAUCGAGCAGCUCUCCUCCAGAAACCCCACGGCCAAGUACCACGGCAUCCUGCAAGCUGUGCAGCGCAUCUUCCGGGAGGAGGGCCUGGGAGCCUUCUGGAAGGGCCAUGUUCCUGCUCAGUUCCUCUCCGUUGGCUACGGAGCUGUUCAGUUCAUGGCGUUCGAGAGCCUGACAGAGCUGGUGCACAACGUCACCUCGUACAGCGCCCGCGGCUCCUUCGUGCACCUGGUCUGCGGGGGCCUGGCUGCCUGCACAGCCACCGUGGCAGUGCAGCCCGUGGACACCCUGCGCACCCGCUUCGCUGCUCAGGGCGAGCCCAAGAUCUAUCCCAACCUUCGCCAUGCAAUAGUGACCAUGUACCAGACGGAAGGGCCUCGGACUUUCUACAGAGGUUUGACCCCCACACUCAUUGCUAUCUUCCCAUAUGCUGGUCUCCAGUUCUUCUUCUACAACAUCCUGCAGCAAUAUUCGGAAUGGGUGAUUCCAGCUGAAGGAAAGAAAGGAGGCAACAUUAAAAACCUUGUCUGUGGCAGCUGUGCUGGGAUCAUCAGCAAAACCCUCACGUACCCUUUGGACGUGGUCAAAAAGCGACUGCAAGUGGGUGGCUUUGAGCACGGUCGGGCAGCCUUUGGGCAGGUACGGACGUACAGGGGUUUCCUGGACUGCAUGAGGCAGAUCAUGCGGGAGGAGGGCUCAGGUGGAUUCUUUAAGGGCCUUUCCCCCAGUUUGCUGAAGGCUGCCUUCUCCACUGGCCUCAUCUUCUUCUGGUAUGAGCUGUUCUGCAGCCUCCUGUGUGCCCUGAAGAGCCCCAACAGCACUGGGAGGAAGGAAGGCUGACAGGGAUGUGUGUGGCUGCCUGUUCUCCUCAGGAGGGGAGACUCAUGGCUUUGCUCUGUCACGAGCGUGUUGGAAAGGCCAGAGCUCCCAGAGCUCCUCCAGCCUGUGGAAAAUCACCUCCUGGGACCAAGCAGAAGGAGAAGGUGACUGCAGUUCUGCUGGAGGCUGUUCAACUGAGCACUUUUAUUAGCUCUGUCUCCUCUCAUAAGCACGCAUUUAGUGGAGAGAAGGGAACAAACAGACCAUUCCCUAGCAGCAACUGUGCUCUGGAAAGGUACCCAAUAAAGUGGGUGAAUUUCUGAGGUCGCCCUGGAUCCCUGAGAGGGAUCCUGACCCAGCCUAGUGCAGCUUAACCAACCAAACACCCCUUCCUAGCACUGCAGCCACACAGCUUUGUUCCCUUGCUCUGUGCCUGCUGUUUGCACCAAAUCCUUGUCUGGGUGUUGCACAGGUCACUCUGUUCUGCUGGAGUGAAGUCAGGUAAAACCACCUGAGUGCACAGGCCAUCAGUUUUCCUUUCCUUUGCUGCCAGCUGAUGCUGCUUGGUCACCACUUGCUGGCUGUGCAUUCCCAGCCACCUUAAACACAGAGUCUUCUCUGAUCAUGCUGACCCAGACUUGUUCUUUCUUUAACUCCAGUGAGCUUGAUUGUAUCCUGAGUUCCCAUUUCUCUUCUUGGGUAUGUUUGGCCAUGCAUCUCUUAGGGGUUUGCAUUGCCUCACUCACACUUUUCACAAGCAAACCUGCAGAUUAAGAGCCUUGCUCUGAAGGGAUUCAACGCACAAGCCUAAUUCUUACUUCAGGGUUCUUUGCUUCAAUGCAGCAAGUAAACAAAUGCUGUAUGGAGAUAAGAAAUAUUUACUCUAAGUUGGAAAUAAUGAAGGGAAAGUCCUGUGGAAACUCGUAAAUUUUUAUUAUUAUUGUUAUUUAUUUAGUAAUAAUUCAAACACUUUUGAAUGUUUCUAGCAAGUAUUUCUGUAGUGGCCUCAAAACAUUUCUGAACCUCGGUCCUACACUGGCGCUAACAGAUGAAAAUGUUUUGACAAGAUUAGCUGAAGUGAAAGGAAUGAACAUCAAAUGGGAAUUGUUUGGCUGAGCGUGGUGGUGUUUCACAAGAGAAGGAUGAUUGAAUUAGAGCCGGGAGAAGUGUUUUUCUGGAGUUUCAAAGGUUUUAGGAGUGGUUAAAAAAGCCAACAAAACAACCAACCAACAACUCUGAUUUACGUAACCAGUGGAAAAGAGGAAAAUUGCUUUCUUCCUCCUCUUUUAUUCUGUGUGUUUUCAAGCUGGGCAGGGUGUGGUUGGGCUGUGUGGAAGAGUCCUGAGGAAGAGCCCGGCUGUACAAACUUUAGUCAUCUGUGAGGGGUGGAUAGGGCAGAAUCCUGGGUUAUUUGGAAGAUGGUUUCAUGGUUCUUCUCUUAACACAGAGCUUUUCCCAGCUCUUUUGCAGUAUUCAGGGUGUUAAUCCCAAAAUGGUCUGGCCAAAUUCCAGCGUGACCAAUUCCAUUCCGUUGACACAACUUCUCCUGGUGUUUUGAACGUAUCAGCAUUGCUCACUUAUCCUGAGCUAUUGUGAGAGGCUGUUUUUAAAAAGCAGCUGUUUCACUGGUGGCUGAGGUAUCUGGAGAGAUUCCUUGCAAGCCUGGGCCAAAUAACUUUGUGUCUGCUGUGGUUUGAGAUCUUGGAGUGCAAAGUGGCUGUUUCACUGCAGGUGACUGAGAGCUCCAUAAAAUUAAAUUCCCUGAGCAGUGUCAGUGUCAGGCAGGAGGCCGAUAUGUGACCCUCAAAGAGGGGCUGAGAGCUGCAUGUACUCUAAAAAUGGCAGUUUUGUUCAGAGGAGAAAAUGCAAAGAAUGUGGAAUGAAGUUUCUCGAAGUGCCUCAAUCCUGUUGGCAUCUUCGUGUGUUAUUUAGGCUCUUCUGAGAUUGCUCAAAAUCUUAACAAUGUCUUGCCUUUGUUUAUUGUUCACCUGUUUUUCUUGGAAAGACAUCAUAAGCAGUAAUGAACUCAGCCUCCUGACAUCUUUCUGAGAGAGAGAAAUGUCUCAUUUCAAAACAGACACAAACAGGUUGGGUUUGUUAUUGUCUUUUGGCUGCUGGUGAGAGCAGUGCUCUUCAUGGUUAGCAGGGACAGGCCACAGCAGAGAAUGCUCAGUGCUGACCUAGGCUUCCUUAGGAAAUGGGACUCAUCCGUCCUGUCUGAACGUUGCAAGACUUGUUUUCCACUUCAUGUCAAAGAGCUGCCACUAAACUGCACAAAAUGUGGAAACUGGUUGGGAACUCAGCAGUGGGAAAGAACAGGAAAGUCAGUGCUCUGCUAAGAUGACGUUCCUCUGGGGUGCUGUGGAUGAUGCAGGCAUGUGCAGCUUGGCUGCCCCACAGAGAGAGCAGCACUGGGGAGCAUGGAGCAGCUUUUCCUCUCUGGGAUAGUUUUUUCCUCAACUCUGCAUUAACUGAGCUUGCCUCCACCCAACAGGUGGCAAAGUCGGAGUUUAAGUUGUGCCAGUCUGGCCCAGGCUGUGGAAGAGACACUCCCCGGUCAGAGGGCUUUGGCAUAGGGCCUUUUGGACUGUGAGUCACAAAUGUUACAGGCCCAUAAAGGCACCUGGGCUUCCAGUGAGAGAGGGAGAAACAUAUGACAACCUCAACUAGACAAUAUUGGGAGUUGCAUCCAGCAGUCGCUUGUCUCUGGUCAGCAGCACCUGUCCCUCAUAGAUUUCUCAUGUGCAUUUUGCUGAAGGAAACGACUGUAACAGAAAUGUUCUUUUCUCUUUGGGAAUGAGGCUGAAAGAACCACUAGGAGGACAAGGUCUUAUUUCUGCUGCUGCUCUGGCAAAACACACACUGUUAGGAGCUAAAUUUCCAAGAAUUAGAGGAGCAGAGAUCUGUAGUCACCUUGUUCUCCCAUGUGCUGGGACAGAUCUCCUCUUGGAAGCUGCUGCUCCCGUUCGGUGCGAAGUGACUCAGUGAGGCUCAGUGUGAAGUGACUCAACGCAGCGACUGUGCCCGAUAUUGGCCAGUGGGAUUUCUCUCCAAGGUAAUCCUAUCACGGGGAUUUGCCUGCACUUCACCUCACAAGCUGCUCAGCAGUUGCAUUUGUUUUCUUCUAGUGCCUUUUACCAUCAGAACAGUCCAAAACCUCCUUAGCAGGCAGAGCAUUGCAGAGGAGUCGUGCUGUAGUUGUUCCUGGCUCCACCACGACGCUGAGCCGGCCUCGGACGGGUGAACACACAAGGUCUGUGAUGAACACUCUGCUCCCCGCAGCGCUGGCUGGCUCCUCCAGUUCCUAGGACAGUCCUGCUCUCAGGAUGCUCACCCAGAGCUACACAGCAUCAUUUUUGAAAAGAAAUGAAUGUUUUACAGUCGGGAUUGGGAAUAGAUCGUGUUUAAUUCAGGUUUAAGUUUCUCUUGUGAUGUAGAACUGUAACUCUGUGGUGUUCUGCUGUGUUGCCUGAGCGGAUCUUUCGCAGCUGCUGUUUUCAGAAAGCAUCUGAGCACAACGUGUGCCUACCUUUGAGACAAGGAACACUGUGGCCCAAAAGGGAAGGAUAAUCAGGGCCCAGUGUGAGAUGGCAGGAGCCAUCUGUUUUUCCCAUCGCUGUUUCCUGGGUGCUCUUCAGCAGCAGGCAGAACUGUACCCUCUGCAUUGGGUAUCACAGUUGAGAACCUCACCAAAAGGGAUCAGCCGAGGGGGAUUUGUGCAGCCUGAUCCCAUUGCUGUGUCCAAGAGGGGCUGUCGGAGCCACAGCAGCCGGUCCUGAGCCACCCACCCUCGGUGGGUGAGUUGAGGCUUUGUUUGUCUCCAGCCAGGCCACACAGCGCUGCAGAAAAUGUUCCCAAACUGCUCGUUCUGUGUUUCCUGAGCCGUUCCCUGGUUUCAGCCUGGCUGCUCGGCUGCAAAGGCUUCACCCCCUGGGGGCUCUUCCCCUGUGAAACGGUUGAGAGUUGAGGAAAAACGUGAAGUGUGUUAUGCCAUACUCAGCUCUUGUUGCAGGGCGUUGAUUUAGCACAUCUCCCCUUUCCUGAUUUUUCUUUUUUCCUAUUGAUUUUUUUAUGCCACUC
Chiroxiphia lanceolata (lance-tailed manakin) is the source of this 5140-nucleotide RNA transcript. It is a transcript of the gene named solute carrier family 25 member 19, with no coding region annotated. NCBI's taxonomy places the organism in Eukaryota, Metazoa, Chordata, Aves, Passeriformes, Pipridae. The record is from RefSeq and is a predicted model, not a curated record. The transcript is spliced from 8 exons.